CCGUUUUUUAAAUUUUGCUCGUCCGUUUUUUACCAUGAAAAAAAAAAAAGCCUUGUAUUUCAAUUUUUUAAAACGAAAAUCAAAUAGUCACUCUUUUUAGUUUUUUUAAUACUUGUUUCUAAAAGGAAAAUCGAAUGACCAAAAGAUACACGGGACCGGGUCCGUGUACUUUUGCGUCCAUUCGUUUUUCUUUUUUUAACCAUGACGAGAAAAAUAAAAUAUAAACGGUUGUUGUAUUUUAAGCAAAAAAAGUUACAUUCAAAAUUUUGAAUUAGAACUGUAUUCAGAACAUUCUACGAAAAAAAUGUAUAUUGACUUAUUUUCAGAUUUUUGUUUAUGACUUUUUGCACCUUUACUUUACAUUUAUAAAAUACACAAAUUAAUAUCGAAUAAAAGCGAAUUGUACUAGUUUUCUGAGGCCAAAUUAGUGACCCGGAAAUAUUUUUUCCCGCACCAUUGAAUGCGAAGCACCAUGUCUCUGGAACCGUACAGAGAAGUGAUUUUGGACAUGAUUUUAAAACACCACACACACAAGGACGUUGCUGAGCAUCUGUCUCAAAUUGGUGUUGGGCGAGGUUGUUCGGCGAGGACUGUUAGAAGAUUUUGUGCCAGUCAUGGUGUGAGACGGGAGGUUUCCGACACUCAGCUGGAGAUAGCUGUAUCGGCAGCAGUACAAGAAACAGGACCAACCUACGGUCGUAAAUUGAUGACCGGUUAUUUGACAUCAAAGGGAAUUCGAGCAGCAGAAAGUAGGGUUGGACGAGCCCUCCGGACAAUAAAUCGACCAUAUCAUGAAAUGCGAUGCAGUGGUGUACGGAAUCUUAAUCCCAUACCUUACUGUGCCACUUACACAGGCCACAAACUCCAUUUAGAUCAAAACGAAAAAUUGGUCAUGUUUGGAGCUACACAUGUCCUAGCAAUUGAUGGCUACAGCAGCAAGAUAAUGGCAUAUUCCUGUAUGCCAGUAAAGAAUAACCUCAUUAUCUAUGAUGAAGUGUACAGGCCUGCAGUAAUCAACAAUGGAAUGUGGGACCAGAUAAGGGUGGACCAUGGAAAAGAGUUUUUCUUGACUCUAUUUAUGCAAGAAAUUCUUGCUGACCACAGAAUGAAUACAGCAACACCACCAUAUCGUCAGACCACAUCAACAAAGAAUCACACAAUUGAGAGAAUUUGGCCUGAAAUAAACAACAGGGUUAAUUACCCUUUGAAGGAGGCUCUUGUUCAGCUGGUCGACCAAGAACUGAUUGAUAUGGACUGCAACCUAACAAGAUACUGUGUGUCUAACCUUGUCUGUCAGCUGUGUCAUCUGGGCAUUAGCAGGGUAGUAGAGGCAUGGAACAACCACAGGAUUCCUGGAAAAGGAAUCCCCAACCAGAUUGCACAGGGUGGUUGUGCAAAAAAAAUCUCAGCAGCACUACUGCCUCAUGGAACUGAAGCAGCUGAUCUGUACAUGAACACACUGGGAUCAUCUUUGACAAGGGUUUCGGCCUUUGGAACAGACCCUUUUACAAGUGAACAUGAGAAGGCUACAGUGGAACAACUGUUUUCAGAAAAGUGGCCAGACAUCACUUACUUGCUCAAUAAUACGGUCAACAAAAACUUUUUGCCUUUUAAAGAGGCUUUGGUCUGUUUAGUAAAUUUAACUCAAAGAUACUCUUAAAGAGCAUGCCUUCUAAUUGUUCAAUGCUGCUUUCCAUCAAGUGUUUUUUCUAGAAACAAAAUAUUACACACAAAUUUAAGCAUCAACAUGAUGCUGAUAAAUUAAAGUAUUUCUUUUUACUUCUUGUUUUAAGUAGUUGUGCAACAAAACUUUACACAACAACUGUCAAAUAAACUACUGAACUAAACUUGAAUUGCUGAACA
This is a long non-coding RNA of Cyprinus carpio (common carp), 1863 nucleotides long. NCBI's taxonomy places the organism in Eukaryota, Metazoa, Chordata, Actinopteri, Cypriniformes, Cyprinidae. The record is from Ensembl.